UUAAAAUAAUAAACAGACGACAUAUUUAACAAUAAUAAUAACACAAUCAUUGGGAAAACAUCUGAAGCAGUUCCUGAGAAGAGAGAAAAGAAGAAAAGUUAUUAACAUGUUAAUGUUGUUAGUGUGUCUGUGUGUACAUCUAAUUGUUAGUGUGUCUGUGUGUACAUCUAAAUGUUAGUGUGUCUGUGUGUACAUCUAAAUAUUAUUAUGUCUUUGUGUACAUCUAAAUAUUAGUGUGUGUCUUUGUUUAGUACCAAAUGUUAGUGUGUCUGUGUGUACAUCUAAAUGUUAGUGUGUCCCGAUGACGUGGCGUCCUGAUGGCGUCCUGUUGGUCUGCAGACAAGGAGAAGAGACGUGAGGAGGAUCAUCAGGAUGUGUCCGUGUGUACAUCUAAUUGUUAUUGUGUCUUUGUGUACAUCUAAAUAUUAGUGUGUGUCUUUGUUUAGAACCAAAUGAUAGUGUGUCUGUGUGUAUAUCUAAUUGUUAUUGUGUCUUUGUGUACAUCUAAAUAUUAUGUGUGUCAUUGUUUAGAACCAAAUGAUAGUGUGUCUGUGUGUACAUCUAAUUGUUAGUGUGUCUGUGUGUACAUCUAAAUAUUAAUGUGUCUUUGUGUACAUCUAAAUGUUAGUGUGUGUCUUUGUUUAGAACCAAAUGUUAAUGUGUCUGUGAGUACAUCUGUGUGUGUGUGUGUGUGUGUGUGUGUGUGUGUUAGAUCUGGAUUUGCUCCUGAGGGGUUGACGCGGCGUCCUGAUGGCGUCCUGAUGGAAUCCUGAUGGCGUCCCGAUGACGUGGCGUCCUGAUGGUGUCCUGAUGACGUGGCGUCCUGAUGGCGUCCUGUUGGUCUGCAGACAAGGAGAAGAGACGUGAGGAUGGUCAUCAGCACGUGUCAGUGUGUACAUCUAAUUGUUAGUGUGUCUGUGUGUAGAUCUAAUUGUUAGUGUGUCCGUGUGUACAUCUAAUUGUUAGUGUGUCUGUGUGUAGAUCUAAUUGUUAGUGUGUCUGUGUGUACAUCUAAAUAUUAAUGUGUCUUUGUGUACAUCUAAAUGUUAGUGUGUGUCUUUGUUUAGAACCAAAUGUUAGUGUGUCUGUGUGUACAUCUAAUUGUUAGUGUGUCUGUGUGUGGAUCUAAUUGUUAGUGUCUGUGUGUACAUCUAAUUGUUAUGUCUUUGUGUA
Long non-coding RNA from Gasterosteus aculeatus aculeatus (three-spined stickleback), 1173 nucleotides. The record is from Ensembl. Lineage: Eukaryota; Metazoa; Chordata; Actinopteri; Perciformes; Gasterosteidae.